This 13229-nucleotide long non-coding RNA is filed under the name Triticum aestivum (bread wheat). RNAcentral describes it as "long non-coding RNA (TAES_LNC012256)". Lineage: Eukaryota; Viridiplantae; Streptophyta; Magnoliopsida; Poales; Poaceae. The record is from RNAcentral.
UAAAGGAGUAUAGAGUGAAGAACCGAUCAGCUGCAGCGAGGCAUGUAAGCUACAGAGCUAAAACCAGGUUUGCCUCGGCGCCAACCGUGUGUUUGGCCUGUUCAUGGUCCUUGCGGUAGUUUCCUCCCCCUGCUUGCUUGGUCCAGGUGCCACGGUAGAGAAUGUGUUGCGAAUGUGCUCGAGCCUGCUGACCUUUCCCUGUACUGGGGUGUGGAUUUGCCCAUGCCCCGAGUUUGUCCCGUGUAUGAACAAAACAUGUGUGGUCUUGGUUUGGUUUGUGAUCUAGUUUUCUCAAUCGUUCAUAUCGCAGACCGUUGUCCUGUUCAUGUGCAAUCUAACAGUCGACAAACCCUCCAAUGAAGAGGAUAAUUUGGCUUCGCUUGUACAGCUUGCGAAAUUUAAUAGAGCACGUUAGUGUAUCCUGCCUGGUCAAAUUUUAAAUUUGUUUGGUAGUCUGUUCGUAUUUUUCGUUGCACCAUGACAAAUCCCUUGCAUUUUCAAAGCUUUUAUGGUCUCUUUGUUUGUUUGUUUUUUGCAUUUGCAUUUGCUAUUGGUGAGUUUGCCUGAAAAUUGAAAUGGUGCAGUCAAUUUUUAGUCCAUUCGAUCCGAAAAAGGAUUGGGGUUCCACUGUCAAAUGAUAAUUGUGCAAGUCCAAGGAUAUUGCACCCCUCAUUCACACCCCGUCCUCAUGGAAAAAUUGCAAGGUGCAUGAGGCUAAGAAAAAUGCUUGGAUCUAUAAAAUUAAGCGCUCCCAAGGAAAAUGCUUGGAUCUAUAAAAUUAAGCUUUCCCAUGAUUUCUCCUGGGCUCAUAUCGGUGAGUUCGUUGACCUUGACCUCACCGAGGAUGACAUUGUUUGAAAGCAUACAAAUGAUGAUCUUUACACAGCGACUGCUGCACAUAAACCGCAAUUCUCGGUAACCAUCUUAUCCCCUAUGGAGCACACGGUUUGAAAGCUUGGGCCCCUCCCAAGGUCGAUUUUUUGUGUGGCUAGCUAUUAAGUAAGGGGUUGGAUUGCCGACCGCUUGGCCAAGCGUGGAUAGCCAAAUUGCAGCCCUUGUCCGCUUUGUAAAAGGAAGGUUAAAUCCAGGGCUCACCUCUUUUACAAAUGUCGCUUCGCGCUUUGACUUUGGAGCCCUUUCUUCGACUGGCUUCAUCUUGAGACCUUUGAUACCUUCUUAUGACACUUGUAGCACUAUGUUAAGGAUUCGGUGAAUCAACCUCUCAGACUGAACACCCAAAUAGAAAGGCCAUGGCGUCUCUUGCAAUGCUUGUGUGUUGGAAAAUUUCUCAAAUAGAAAGGCCAUGACGUCUCUUACAAUGCUUGUGUGUUGGACAAUUUCCCAAAUAGAAAGGCCAUGCAGUCUCUUACAAUGUUUGUGUGUGAACAAUUUGGAACGAGGCCAAGCUCUGAGUCACUGCAGGUGCCAAAAAAUUAGGAUCAAUAAUGCCCGAAGAGCAAUCAUUUUAUCUUGUAAGGCUGGUCUCCUCUUAAUUAAUAGAUGAGACAAAACUUAUGCAUCCAUUUAAUAAAAAUGAUAAUUGAUGCAAGUCGAUUAUUUGGGAGAAGAAAAAGAAGGAAAGCUCUGCCCUGAGGCCGAGCCGGGGUCAAGCACUAGCCAGAGAUAGGCAGAGCCUUGACAUGGGCGAAGAAAAAGGAGGAAAACUCUAUUCUCCUUUUUGAAGCAUAUAUUUUGUUUUAAUUGCCCAGACCUUCACAAAUGCCAUUCCAUCACAAAUUUGUGCACAGCUGAAACAUUCAUCAAUGUUUAUCUUAAUUUUUGUUUCAGAUUUUUGUUUUUUUUGUUGUUAUUUCCCCCUCCAGUUUUUACUGUUCAUCUGGGAGCAUGUGAGCUCAUGAAGUUUUGCAUGAGUUGAAAACCUCUCGCUCUGAAGGAAUUAUGCUUCAGUUGGACUUUGAAAAAGCUGAGACUAGAAACUUGAUGUCCCUGGCACAUAUUUCUUUUCCAGGGAACUUACCAACAGUGGCUCCUUUAUUUCCCCCCGUAUUUCUUUCUGUUUCUUUUGCAGGGAACUUACCAACAGUCGCACAUCGAAGGAAUGCUUCACACAAAGCAGGUAAAAAAAGAAGAAACAAACGAAUCACAGUGUUCAGCAAGAUACAAACCGAUCCCAAAAAAAGAAAGAACCGGUAACUAUCCGGUAAACACAUUUUACACGAGGCGCAGCAGCCUGAACCAUCAACCUGCUGCCUCUCAAGACGAAUGAACUAACGGCAGUAGUACUAGAUUUAGUACAGUAAGUAUCACACCAUCACCAUCACUCUAACCUACGACUCCCUCCGGGACCCGAGUCACCUGACGUACGUACGUGUUAGCUGGCUGCUUCAGUGUGUCUCGCUCGCUGCUACAGAUACUGCGUGUGUAUCCGGUCCCGGUUCUGCUCCCACCACACCUUGGCCCGCUCCUCGCCGAACCGCUCCCGGCUGCAACCACACAACACCAUCGGUCGGUUAGUCGAGUUCACGUGAGCGCGCGAGAUUCGGCAACAGCAAAGGUGAUGGUCGGCCAGCGGUGGGCGUGCCUGAAGCGGACGCGGCGGAGCUCGCGGGUGCCGUCGCCGAGCUCGCGGAUGGUGAUGUGCACGCCGGGCUCGUCCUGCUCCACCCACUCCGUCGCCUCCAGGUCGCUCGCAUUGCUCACCGACACGGACGCCUCGUCCAGCGACGACGUGGUGGCGCGCGACGGGUCGUAGGGCGGCGGGGCGCCCGCGCUCAACGGCAUCGACGACGCGCCCGCGGCCGAGUUGAGCAUGUUGAAGUGGUGCGCCCACACGUGGUCGGACGGGUCCGGCACGGCCGUGGACGGGUGGCACGCCGCCUUGUACGACGUGGUCCGGGUGAUGGGCCGCUCCCUGCUCGCCGCCGUCGCGGACGGCGGCAGCACCACCGGGCUCUCCCUCGUCGAGCCGGCGCGGGAGUAGAAUGACUCUCUCUGCUCGCAAUGCAAACCCACGGUUUCAAAUGAUGGUCAGCACGCCGAUGAGACGAGAGGACGACGUAAAAAGAUAUGGCUGCAGGCGACUGACCUGCAUGGCGUCGUCGAUGGAGGACGACGGCGUCGAGAGGCCCUGCUGCCGGAACGUCUGCACGUUGUACAGCUCCACCACGCGGUCGUAGUUCUCGCCCCACCACCGCUGCGCCUCCCACUUGUUGAACAUCUCCCGGCUGCAAAUUUUUGAUGUUGCUUCAUCAGUUCAUCAUUAUCACUCAGUCUCUACUCACGAUACCGGCAUCGAAGCAUCGAUCGAUCGGCACAAACCUGAAGCGGAUGCGCUUUAGGUCGUUGCCGGCGCCGCCGGGGAUGGAGACGAAAGUGAUGUGCACGCCGGGCUCCACCUGCGCGGUCCACUCCCUCGGCACGCGGUCUUCCUCCAGGACGACGGUCUCCUCAUCGUCUUCUUCGUCCUCCUCGGCCUCCUCCCCGAUGCUCGGUAUCCAGCUCGCGCUCGGGUUCCUCCCGUGCGGCUGGAAGCCAUUGUUGAUCUUGGGCAUGUCCCACGUUGUCGACGGGGCGGUCGCGCUCGACGUUGUUCUCGUGUAGCUGUACGCCUCGCCGGCCCCGUCGGACGUGAAGCCCGAGUCGUCGAUGAUGCCCGGGUACGCGGCCAACCGACUGGAGCGGUGGAAGCGGUUGCCCCUGAAGGAUGGGCUACCGGUGGCCUUGUAGUGCUUGCCGGAGCCGGAGAACUUGAGCACCAUGUCCUUGAGCUGGAAGCACAUUUGCAGGAGCUCAGUCAGUCAGUCAGUCAGAUCACCAAUUAAUGUAAUGUAAUAUACUCAUAGCAGAGAACACAAAAUAUCAAAUGUGACUCGCAUUAGUAGCAGCAUAUACUGGUAUACAAGCGAAGGGAACAUAUUAAUUAAUAAUCAAUUAAAAUGCUUGAUUAGGACCCAACAAAAGAACGGCCCAAAGGAACGCCACGUUAGCUUGCCGGGGUGUAGGUGUAGCUGAAUAUUCAGACACACAUUUCUUCCAACAACAUCUGUGUAUCAGUGUCACGAAUCUAUUCCCCCCCGCAAUCAAACGUCUCACUCCAGUGUGAUACCAUCCAUCACAGUUUUUUUUUUUUGAGAAUCCCAUCCAUCACAGUUAGUAGUACUACUUUUAUUCUUCAUUCUGAAAAAGUUCUCGGGAGAGAGGUACAAGCUCCGUGUUCAUUUGCUAGUUACAGUUAGUCACCGCCACCACCAAUACUAUUCCCUCCGUCCCAAAAUUCUUGUCUUGUAUCUUGGCAAAUCUAAGACAAGAAUUUUGUGACGGAGGGAGUACAUCCAAAAUGGACGGCUCCGCCUGACUCAAGAACCACAGGGUGGAAUCAUCAUGAUUACUUUUAGGUCUAGAUAGAAUGUGCCCUAAUUUUGUUCGCGAGAUCAAGCAUCAAGAGCCUAGUGCGCGAUAAUUAAGUCUUUAAGCAAAGCUUCAAUGAUAACAGCGGGUGUUUAAUGAUAGAUGCUGUUGUAACUAGUAGUAGUAGGAACUAACCAGGCAGCACAUUUUUGCCUAGCAGAAGCCUAGAAAGCACAAAGGAACCAAAGGCCAAGCGCACCACCGUGUCCUAAUUAGUCCAGCGAGGACAUCUUUGGUCUGAAGCAAGGAACAAAUAAGCACUUGCGUACUAGUACUCCAACACAAAACGGUGCCGUUCAUGAUCAGCCAGAGGGGAGGCUGCCAUAAUGCAUGCCGCGUGUUGCUUAAGAUCUGUACUUAAAGAUUGCAAAAGCCAAAGCGUGCAGGAAGCCAAGGUGUAAGGAAAGGACAGUGGUAAACACUCGAGGCUUGCCAUGAUAAGGCAGAGAUGGUUGGAUGGUGCAGGGAGAAAGAGGCCCGGGCUGGGCCUAGCUUAGCCAAGCCCAUGUAAGGACCACGGAAUGAGUGCUACUACUACGGGCUACGGCCCACCUUUAUUCCUUGCGUGAGCAGCAACAUACACAUUUGGAACUCAUAUUAAAGAAAAGAUAGAGUAUUAUAGUAUUGGCUUGGAAGAGUAAAGCGGAGGGUUAAAUCAAACAAAGAGCGUCUUUCCAGGAUGGAAAGACCCACAUUAGCAUCUUCCAUAAUGUGUGGUUCGCCAUACCUUUCUUUGGAGCAAAGAGGACGGACGAACAAACAAUGGUGGCAAGUGCGAAAGGCGGAGAGGGGAAUGUGGGGAACAAAAGCGACGAGAACAAAUAACAUCCUUGUGCACAGCGUCCCAAGCAGCUUGGGAGUUGCGGGGAUCGAUCUACUAGGAAAAGCAAGCGCUCAUAUUCCCCUGGGCCUUGACCAACUUUGCCCAAGAAUGUUUGGAAAUGUGAGGGCACUGUCACCCAUCAUGCACUGCUACUCCCACUUGGAAACCGUUCUCCCGCUUUUCAUUUCAAAACUAGACUGGAAUGCUGUGUAGUGUACUGUCGUGCUCCCUCGUGUUCUUUUUUCAAAUGUCAGGGACAUGCAUGGUGACGGCGAGUAGUUGCAGAGGGCAUUCAAAUCGACUGAUCAAUGCAUCUAGUACGUGGUACUCUCUGUACUCGGCGGCCAAGUACGGGCAGAAAAAGCAGAAACCAUGCUGAGCGCUAGCUUAUAGCUGUUCUUCCUCGGGAUACUGUGUUUAUUUGUUGGGAUGCAGUAGCAAAACACUAAGUGAGUAGGUAAAGAUGCAGAUGGUAGGAAGCACGGGAGCACGACAGGCAUACCUGUGAGGUGAGAGACUUGCCGGCGUCCCUGCUGUUGGGUGCGCCGACAGCACGGGAGCCGUCCUCUCCACCGUCCUUGGUCGAGCAGGCGAUGCAUGCCAGCAUCUUCGCUUCUUUCUUUCACGCCCGCCGGCCACUCGAUCGCUUGCUUCUCCCCUGCUCUGCUUAGGUAGACCAGAUCACACUGCAUCGCACGUACAUAAAACGAUUGUUGAUUCGAUACUUAUCUUGAGUGACACCAAGCUUCACGCAAGGGAAAAUGCAACUGAAAUGCACAACGAGUGGUUAAGAAGCUCCAGUGCAGCCACCGGCAUGUGUAAAGGUUCUCGUCUCGGAUGAAAUGAAUAUUUCUGCAUCGAACUUGUACGUGGCACCAGGCCCGUACGAGAAGCACAUGAGCAGGGCCAUGCACGUUUGGGCGAGCGCGUGGCCGGCAUAAAUUCCUGGUCAGUCAGUCAGUCAGUGCCGGCGACGUGCGCUCGCCGGCCACCCUAAGCCUAAUGCAUGCCGCUCUGGCCUCUGCCGCAGCCUUUGGGGCCUCCUUAAACGCGCGCACGCGGACGGACAGCAACCGCACGUCGCGCGCGGGCAGCCACAGCCAUCGCCGCCGUACGGGCGAGGGCGGGCGGGCACCCGCAGUGCCGAUCGGGAGAGCGCAAGCGCGCGCGACGGGCCCCAUGCAUGUGUGCACGCGCCGGGGUGGGCGCCCGGGCCUAGCAGCUAGCUAGCUCCGUUCGUCCAUGUCCGCUCUGGCUGCAGGGCACUGUCACUAUGCCAUGUCUGUCUCGUGGAGCUGCCCCGCUAGGCCCUGCGCGGUAGGGGCACCACGGAGCAAGGAACCGAGUCAAUGCGGCAGCGUAGGAGGCUGCUCUGCACCAGAGGCUAUGGACAGACAGAGAGCAGAGGCGUGUGGUGUAGGCCGGUAGGCUGAUUGCAUGCAUGGAUCGGUGCAAGGAUGAUGAUGAUGAUAGGGCGCUACCGGAUCGCUGGUGGAUGCUGCGCGGUGCUAGCCACCGGUGGGAUCGGCGGGCUGGAGGACGGGUAGGCUCGGUAGAGUAUUCAUUCAAGUUCUACGGCGAAUUUAUCCGCGCUGCUGGAGACUGCCGCAAGUACAGCGUGCGCAGAGAAGGUUCUGCGUAGAUCUUGUGUAAGUGUAUCAUCGCUGUCUAAAGACCACGGAAUUAAUUCUCGCAAAAAAAAAAGAACAGUAACAAUAAAUUAACAGUGGUACAACUACAGCCCGCCCUCUCUGUAUCUUGAUCCCUGUCGCUCCUCUGUCUGCUUGAGAGAGGCGAGGCGAACAAGGAACCUGAUGGAUGCACAUAUUGCCUGGAUAGGCCCAUGAGGCCCUUUAAGGCCCAGGGCCCUGAGGAGGUUCUCAGUCACCGGCAGUGGACCCCGCUAGGAAAAUCGAAAUGCAAGCCAACAUCACAAAUCCAACGUCGCCACUGCCCCCGCUAGCUAACAUAACAGUGUCACGCAGAGAUUUAACACCAGCUAUUGAGCUGUUUCUUUCCCUUGUAAGCAGAAGCUGAUAUACGAGUCAUGAACGGAUAUGCAUAAUGACAAAUGAAGGCAGCACACUUACCAGUUCUGCAAACGUCCCGAUCACAGCAGCAAUUCUGGCCACGCGGCAAUAGUGGUGGCGUCCGUAUCUCCCCUCGCUCACUGCUGCAUCCUUUUUUGAAUGGUCAUCUCACUGCUGCUUCUGACGUCGAAAUGAUCUGAAGAUUGAACAGGGAGAGGAAGAGGAUUAUACUCCACUUAGUAUGAUGAUGAUGCAAGUGGGCGACUCAAUGCGAAGUUUCGGUGUGCAAAUCAACACGAGCCAGCCCAAAGAAGCGGAGGAGGAGGAGCACUCAUUGGUGUGAGAGGGCGUCCACGCCACGGGAAAAAGGCAACAGUGGGAAACAAUGGGAUUGCCCCCCGAAUGGAUGGACCCAGGAGAGGCUGGAAGAUCUCAAUGAUCAACGCCGCAACGAACUCGAUGGCGCCCAGUAAAAAGAGAGAAGGCAGACCAAAAUGUCCUAGAAAAAGAAAGAAAACAGAGCCCGAAUGCGAAGAAGAUCUUCUUGGGGAAGGAAGAAGAAACAAGAACUUGGGAGGAGUACCUUCUUCUUUCCUCUUCUUGGCCGCUGCCUCCGCUCUGCUCCUCUGGUGAAAUGCCCGGUGGAGCAGACUGCAGACAGAUCCUCGUAGUCGCGCGCGCGGCGGCGGCGGAGCCGGGGCAGGAUCACCGCGGAAACGACACCGCGCGGCAGAGCUAUCGGCUGACGCAGGCUACGCAGCCCUCUCGAGCAACUGACGAGGAGGGAGUUUAUUUUCUGUCUUCUUUUUUUUUCGCGAGAGGAGAGCAGAGGAGGGAGGGAGGAAGCAGAGAGGGGCUGGUGGGGGCGGGGGUGGGACGGGAUCCCCGGAUUCGCUCCCGGCCGUCUGAUCCGCCCUGGAAAUCGAGCGAAUGCCGCUGCCAAAGCACGCGCACGCCGACCCAGCGGUGUGCCUCCCCGAGUAUUUAGGGGCUGUUUGGAUGACUACCAAUAGUUGCCUUACCAAAAUAUUGGUCACGCCCGACCCUUUUGGCCUCCACCUGGAUCACGACCAAUUUUGGCUCGCCCCAGCGCGCCCGCGCCCAUUUUCGCCAAAUCGCGGGCGAAACGGCGGCGCGGAAAUCGGCCGCCAAAAAAUUGGCAGCGCGCGAACUGGGCAUUGAGUAUAAAAGGUAGGCAGCGAAAUUUCCUCGUCGGUUCCUUCACUUUCCUCUUUUCAUCCCAGGCAAACACACAGGAGCGAGUGGAGGGCAAGAUCUGCAGCUAUCGCCAAGGCCGCCGGAUUCCUGCGACAAUACGAGCUUCUCCGGCCGCUGCCGGCGUUCCUCUGUCUCUCGUUCUCAUCUCUCAAUCCACCCACGGUCAGCAGCUCAACUCCCCUUCAAUCCCACCCCGAUCCCCUUUUCUCUUGGCAUGAUUUGCUUCAAUCCGACCUUUUUAAUUGGUGAUAUGCUGCACGUACGUAUAUACUUGCCAGAUCUAAGUACUUGCCUGCCAAAUCCAUGCCCUUUGCCCCUGCUCCCAGUCUUAGAUCUCCAUAUGCAGCAUCCGUGAAGUUAUAAGGCAGCCAAGACACUAGAAAUUAGACAUGAGAAGGAUAUUUGACACAGAGCUAGUUAUGAGUCCAUAUGACCUCUGUUUUUAGAACAUUGUUGUCCAUAAAUUUCUUAGGAGCCGGCUGGACAUAUAUGCUUAAUUGUUGAUUGGGACUUAUUAUCUCUGUCUCUUAUUUCUGAUUCACAAAUAGUCAAGCACAUAUCUGUAUUUUUUGUUAAUGAUUUAGGUGGAUCUUUUUAUAAGUUACUCAUCACUAUUAUUAGUUAUAAGCAGCUCUGAUUUUGUACAAUGUAAAUAUGAUUUAGAUCAUUCAUAUUAACGUACUUGUUAUAUUGACCCAGAUGGACUUGGAUCAGCAAAAAUAUUAUUAUCUCACCAUGUUGUGGCGGAGAACUCUGUCUGUCAUUGUUCUUCUCUUGGCUCUUUGGUAUAGAAACAAAGAUGGUAGAAAAUUUAGAAGUGGAGGAAGAAAGUAUGGUCCACUAGUUGAGAGAGACAUCUACAGGACUAAUGUCCUGGUUAGGCUAAUUGACACAUCCGAUGCAAUAUGUAUCAAGCAACUGCGGAUGUCUCGAGCUGUGUUUUACAAGCUAUGCAUUAGGCUCAGGCAGAAAAAGUUGUUAAUUGAUACACUACAUGUUUCAGUAGAGGAACAAGUAGCAAUGUUCCUAUACAUGAUCGGUCAGCAUCACACAAAUUCAUCCAUUGGAUUUUGGUUCUGGCGAUCUAGUGAGACAGUGAGCAGAUAUUUCAAUAUUGUUCUUCGUGCGAUGGGGGAGUUAGCUCGUGAUCUCAUUUACAUUAGAUCAACGGACACACACACAAAAAUCACUAGCAGCCCGGACAGAUUCUACCCGUAUUUUGAGGUAACCCUUAGACCGUAGAUUUAUUACUGAUUAUACAAGAUCGACCUAACCCAAGCUUGACAUGAACUCCCCUUUCUCAUAUUCAUAGGGAUGCAUAGGGGCACUAGAUGGCACUCAUGUUAAGGCUUGUGUUCCUGCCCACAUGGUCGACAAGUUUAGGGGCCGCAAGUCAUACCCCUCCCAAAAUGUGCUAGCAGUUGUUGACUUCGACCUUCGAUUCACAUAUGUUCUAGCUGGUUGGGAGGGCUCUGCCCAUGAUUCUCUUGUGCUAAAAGAUGCCCUCACACGUCCAGGGGGAUUAAAAAUACCCGAAGGUACAUAUACAACGUAACAUACAUGUUUGUCACUGUGUUGUGCCAACUUGACUUUAACUCAUUGUUAAUACAACAUGGCUGUAGGGAAAUAUUUCUUGGCUGAUGCUGGGUAUGCUGCGAGGCCAGGGAUAUUGCCUCCUUAUCGUGGUGUGCGCUACCACCUAAACGAAUUUGCUGGAGACCGUGACCCAACUACCCCAAAAGAAUUGUUCAACCACCGCCAUUCAUCACUUAGGACCACAGUUGAACGGGCAUUUGGGACUCUUAAGAGUCGCUUCAAGAUUCUUACUCAAAGGCCCUUCAUACCUUUGAAAUCUCAGAUUAAAGUGGUAGUUGCUUGUUGUGCUUUGCACAAUUGGAUAUUAGAAAAUGGUCCAGAUGAUUAUGUUGUGGAUGAGGCGACAUGGUAUGCCAAUCUCCCUAGGAGUACUGGGCGGGUUCGUGAUCAAGAGGCUGACAUACGUGAGUGGGCUGCCAAGCGAGAUUUAAUCGCUCAGCAAAUGUGGACAGAUAGAGAGAGUGCACGUGACAAUGAGGCUGAUGCUAUCCCAGCUCAGUAUCUUUGAUGUAUUUCCAUGUGAGGGAACAUUUGAAGGAUGUACUGUACCUUUGAUGUAUUUCCAUGUGAGGGAACAUUUGAAGGAUGUACUGUACCUUUGAUGUAUUUCCAUGCGAGGGAAAAAUUGAACGAUGUAGUGUUUCUAUUCUAAUGACUUUGUGUAAAUUAUCGUAUCCUCGUAAUAUUGUUUGACUUAUUUCAAUUUAAUCUGGUCUCUCUGUCCUAUUAAAUAAGUUUAGUUCUGUCCUGUUGUAAGUUGGAUCUGUGAUGUUUCAUGUUCGUAUGCUGACAUUUUUUUGAGGGUUUUUGCUUCCAACUCACUUUCUUAAUAACUAGUUGUUUGCAAUGGUGACCUAUCUGUAGGUCAUGGGGAAGCAUAAGCUCACUCUGAAGACCGAGGAGGACUCCAAUCCUCGUGAUAAGUACAUAACCUGGACUGACGAGGCGACAAGGUUUAUGCUUGAAUGGUAUAUCGACCUUCGUAAGGACAAACCUGCAACUUUCAAGUUCAAGAAACAACACCACUUGCAAUGUGCUGAUGCUCUAAAUGGCAAGUUUUCGCUUGGUGUCACUCAAACCCAAGUGGAUCGACACUAUCGUCAAUGCAAGGAGAAGUGGGGCUGGGUGCGUCGUGCCAUGGCCAAUAGUGGAAAUGGCCUUGACAGAACCACUUUCACAUUCACACUUUCUGAGUCAGAAAAGCAAAGACUCAAUGUAAGUUCUUAGUAGUUUUUUCUCUUAUUUAUAUCAUGGUCUGAUUUUAAAAUGAGUGGAUAGCUGCUAUUGUCUAUAUAUAUGUAUGCUUCAUAUUCACUGUCUCUUGUUGUGUUUUUUUAUACCUGCAACUUCUCUCAUGUUUUGUGUUCAUAAAAUCAUUAUUUUACUCUUUUUACCUUACCUUGUGUGCAGAAAACUGCAGUCAAUUAUCUUACCAGACCCAUUAGGUUCUUUCAUCAAUUGGAAGAGUUAUUCUCGGAUCAAUCUCAUGCUGAUGGCUCACUCGCAGUUGACCAAACCACUGUCAAUGUGGAUGAUGGUAGUGAUGACAGCGAGGAUGUGAGGGAACUUGAGGGAAAUCUAAUUCCAGCAGACAGUGAUGAAGCUGACUCUGACACUAUUGAUCGUCGCAGUCCUAAAGUCGACUUGGAUGGCAAUCCAUUAAACAAGAAGCGCAAGUGUGCAUCAUCAUCACCUUCCAAGAAGCCAACCAAGGGCAAAGCAAACAAGAAGGGCAAGGUAUCUAAUGAUGAUAUGGUAACCAGUAUCAAGAAGCUAGCUGAAUCCCUUGCAUCCCCUAUUGUGUCUGUGCAACCAAUGCCACCUGCAGAUCCUUAUGCAAAUCUUUGGAAGCGGAUCAAUGCCCUUACCAUCCCAGCUAAGGAUAAACUUGAGAUUGUUGCCUAUCUAUCCAAGCCAGACCAAGAUAUCUUUCGUAGUUAUCUUAACUAUGCCGAUGAAACAAUUCUUCGAGAGUGGGUCAUUAGCUACUUUGAGCCUCAGUUUCAUGAAGGUGGCAAUGAUGGAUCUGCGGCUGCUCACUGAAUUGCCACAUGGUUAGAUAGAGUUUGUGGCAACCUUUUGUUUAUAUGGCUAGGAACGCUUUAACACGUAGUGGGAGCAUGGAUAACAUCAUCAUGCAUAUUUUGUCUAUAUACAGCAAACUUGGGUGCAUCAUGUACUGUUUGUAUGGAGUGCAUUUGGUGCAUGGCUGGCUGUUUAUGUCCUAGAUGGUAUGGUAAAGGAUGUGAACCUUAUUCCGUCUAUCAUGUAUCAGACAAUAUAUGAGCUACUUAAUGUAUGAGUUUAAUUCUGAAGUUCUGAAAAUGCAGAGUUUGUGUGCAUAUGUGUGUUGGUUAAUUCAAAUUUUUAUUUUUUUGUAGCAUGUGAUAUGUGACUGCUUGUUUACACACAAGCGUUCUUUUAUUUGGCUGGCAUGCAAUUUUCAAAUUUUGAAACCAAACCAAACACAUGCCAGUCAAAUGUGCCAAAUAUUUGGCUUCAAACCAAAUGACAUCCAAUGGUUUUGCCAAAAAAUUGGCAAGUACUAAUGGCUACAAUCCAAACAGCCAUGACUUGCCAAUUUUUUGGUCAUGCCCUGGAAUUGGUGAUGCCAAUUAUUUGGUAGGGCAAGAUUGGGCUCAAUCCAAACAGCCCCUUAUAUAGGGGCGUCGCCUCCGCCCCGCCCCGCCCCGGCGAGGUCGGUCGGUCGUUCGGUUUUCAGGCGAUCCGCGCCGUCCGUAUCGCCCGCCUGGAUGCGUGGCGUGCCGGCACCGUGGGACGCAUUCGGGUGGGCCACCCGUGCUCCCCCGCGCCGGGGCCCGCCCCAUUAUCCACGCAUGGCACCCGUACGUGACGUGUUUGGUGCUGAAGUUGCGCAGGUGCGGGGCGUGUGACGGACCGCCGUGGCCGUGCUGCUACACGGCGGUCGGGACGGGGGUCUCGCCGAGGCGGCGCGGCCGUGUCGUAUCUGCCGGCCACCCGACGGGCCGACGGGCCGGUGCACCCUUUGCUUAGCCUGAGUUUGACGCCAUUGGAAAACGGGACAGGUUGUUGAUUGUCGGGGAAUCUGAAAAUCACGUCAAAUCAAUCGCCGUAUGCCUAUUCGAUAGUACUACUACUGUACAUGAGGCUCCCCUAAUUAACGACAACUUCGUUCCUGUAAACCGCUCCUGAAUGUACCUAAAAAAAAAAAC